AUUUCGUAUUUAAACUGCCCAAGGCGUUUUGCCUCAUGACAUUACAAAACGAUAUGAAGAUAUUUCUGAGUGUCUUGUUUGUUGUGGUUGCGGUUUCUGCCGUUCCGGUGCCAGUAACUAGUGAUGAAGCCGAAACAUACAUCGGAGUAUAUUCGGAUGAUCCCAGCAAAUUUAUUGGUCACGUGCAAUAUAUCGAUGGACAGAACAGCAACGGUCAUAACAAUUAUGGGUAUGGACCACCCUCUUACUGGCGACCGCCAUAUGGACCACUAUAUCCAGGGUACUACCCACCGAUAGGAAUGUGGCCGCCGGUUCACGGUAACGGACCGAUUUACGGACAGAAUGAAUACUGAGGGAGUUAUGACGGAGCGCAGGUCUGAACCUUUCAUGUUAAUGAACAUCUUGGGUAAUGAAGUGCAACCUAGUAUUGUUUAAGUUGUUAUAUGCGCAUCCAAUACAUUUUAAAUUUUUGCAAAAGACUUUCAACGGAUCAUCGAAAUAAAUAUCAAUUAGGGACCUAAUCUUUGAAAAAAAUUUGCACCAUUUCCGUAUUCCAAAUGUUAAUUAUAAGCGGCUACAGGGUCGCCAUGUAAUGACUACCACCUAGCUUUAGUUUUGGCAUGACACAAUAUCAA
This is a long non-coding RNA of Wyeomyia smithii (pitcher-plant mosquito), 635 nucleotides long. RefSeq lists it as uncharacterized. Lineage: Eukaryota; Metazoa; Arthropoda; Insecta; Diptera; Culicidae. The record is from RefSeq and is a predicted model, not a curated record. The transcript is spliced from 2 exons.